AUUUGUUGUUGCAGCCCUUGUUUCAACUGUUGUGUAACAUGGUCUUUGGAGAAAAUUGGACAUUUACUUCCUGAAUCAAGAGUUCUCUAAAAUAAAGUUAACAACUCUUUAAAUGUCCUCCCCGUACAGUAUAAUGGAGCGGAAACACUGCUGGCUCAUCCCAUUAAUGAUGCAGAGUUCUGGACACGAGAGAGAUGUCUGAGAAGAUGAGAAGGAGAAGUCACUCAGAGCCUGCAUGGAGACUUCUAAAUCCACAAAUGAAACAGGGGAGGAGAGGAGCGGCCUAGAUGAAGUCCAUAGGGCUCCUGACGUUUCUCUGAGACAUCGCCUUGUUUCCAAUCCUGAUUCAGUUGGAUUUGCGGCUCCGAAGCGAUUUAUGAAACUCUGGACCGUGGCUCGAGUGCCUGCAAAGGUCGACGUGCUGUGGAUCUGACUCAUCCUCUGUGCCCAGAAUAAGUACCUUGAAGAGCGACUAAAGGAGAGAAAAGCCAGAUAAUUAGAUUAAGUGACUCAGUUCUUUCUGACACAUCUCAUAUUCCCCUUUUGCCCUUUUCAAGUCGGCUUAAAAUCAAACGGCCAGCGGUCGGAGUCACAGCUGAAAGACAGGCUCCACUUUGGACGUCCGUCACCGGUCCUCCAACGAUGGGUCCGUCGUCAUCAUGGUCACGCUGGCAGUGCCGGGCAGGAGACGUCAUUGUGCCGUUGAGAGAACGGCCCUCGGGCUCCUCAGUCCUCUAGCUCGGACAAUCAAACAAGGAGACUGACAACAGCUACAUUUGCG
This is a long non-coding RNA of Gasterosteus aculeatus aculeatus (three-spined stickleback), 781 nucleotides long. The record is from Ensembl. Lineage: Eukaryota; Metazoa; Chordata; Actinopteri; Perciformes; Gasterosteidae.